GCUCUCUGAUUCAGCGGCGGACGGGUGAGUAAUGCCUAGGAAUCUGCCUGGUAGUGGGGGACAACGUUUCGAAAGGAACGCUAAUACCGCAUACGUCCUACGGGAGAAAGCAGGGGACCUUCGGGCCUUGCGCUAUCAGAUGAGCCUAGGUCGGAUUAGCUAGUUGGUGAGGUAAUGGCUCACCAAGGCUGCGAUCCGUAACUGGUCUGAGAGGAUGAUCAGUCACACUGGAACUGAGACACGGUCCAGACUCCUACGGGAGGCAGCAGUGGGGAAUAUUGGACAAUGGGCGAAUGCCUGAUCCAGCCAUGCCGCGUGUGUGAAGAAGGUCUUCGGAUUGUAAAGCACUUUAAGUUGGGAGGAAGGGCAGUAAGUUAAUACCUUGCUGUUUUGACGUUACCGACAGAAUAAGCACCGGCUAACUUCGUGCCAGCAGCCGCGGUAAUACGAAGGGUGCAAGCGUUAAUCGGAAUUACUGGGCGUAAAGCGCGCGUAGGUGGUUUGUUAAGUUGGAAGUGAAAGCCCCGGGCUCAACCUGGGAACUGCUAUCAAAACUGGCAAGCUAGAGUAUGGCAGAGGGUGGUGGAAUUUCCUGUGUAGCGGUGAAAUGCGUAGAUAUAGGAAGGAACACCAGUGGCGAAGGCGACCACCUGGGCUAAUACUGACACUGAGGUGCGAAAGC
Molecule: ribosomal RNA, 682 nt
Filed under: Stutzerimonas stutzeri
Lineage: Bacteria; Pseudomonadati; Pseudomonadota; Gammaproteobacteria; Pseudomonadales; Pseudomonadaceae
Description: bacterial SSU rRNA
Rfam family: Bacterial small subunit ribosomal RNA
Source: RNAcentral